This is a long non-coding RNA of Mus musculus (house mouse), 150 nucleotides long. RefSeq annotates it as predicted gene, 42270. The record is from RefSeq and is a predicted model, not a curated record. NCBI's taxonomy places the organism in Eukaryota, Metazoa, Chordata, Mammalia, Rodentia, Muridae. The transcript is spliced from 2 exons.
CCGAAUGACGCACUACCAGAGCCUAUUGCUGACAGAGCGAUGUGAAGAAAUACUGGCAGAAGAGACUGGAAUCCGGCCAGACCUCACAGACCAACCUUGGCCAGGGGCGAUGACUUGGUUCACGGACGGAAGCAGCUUUGUGGUAAAAGG